ACAAGAUGAGAUCUCCCUGGACCUUUAAGGUCCCUGAAGGGCCGUUGAAGACUACAACGUUGAUAGGCUGGGUGUGGAAGUGCAGUAAUGCAUGUAGCUAACCAGUACUAAUUGCCCGUGCGGCUUGACCAUAUAACACUCAAG
RNAcentral lists this ribosomal RNA (144 nucleotides) under Gammaproteobacteria bacterium. RNAcentral describes it as "partial 23S ribosomal RNA". It matches the Rfam family "Bacterial large subunit ribosomal RNA", at positions 2799 to 2925 of the family's 2925-position model. The record is from RNAcentral. Lineage: Bacteria; Pseudomonadati; Pseudomonadota; Gammaproteobacteria.